This 252-nucleotide ribosomal RNA is filed under the name uncultured bacterium. RNAcentral describes it as "partial 16S ribosomal RNA". It matches the Rfam family "Bacterial small subunit ribosomal RNA", at positions 524 to 776 of the family's 1533-position model. The record is from RNAcentral.
UACGAAGGGGGCUAGCGUUGCUCGGAAUCACUGGGCGUAAAGGGUGCGUAGGCGGGUUUUAAGUCAGAGGUGAAAUCCUGGAGCUCAACUCCAGAACUGCCUUUGAUACUGGCGAGCUUGAGUUCGGGAGAGGUGAGUGGAACUGCGAGUGUAGAGGUGAAAUUCGUAGAUAUUCGCAAGAACACCAGUGGCGAAGGCGGCUCACUGGCCCGAUACUGACGCUGAGGUGCGAAAGCGUGGGGAGCAAACCGG